CACAAGCGGUGGAGCAUGUGGUUUAAUUCGAUGAUACGCGAGAAACCUUACCAGGGCUUGACAUAUACAGGAAUGUUGUAGAGAUACAGCAGCCGCUUGCGGUCUGUAUACAGGUGCUGCAUGGCUGUCGUCAGCUCGUGCUGUGAAGUGUUGGGUAAGUCCCGCAACGAGCGCAACCCCUAUCAUCUGUUGCCAGCAUUUAAGGUGGGGACUCAGAUGAGACUGCCGGUGACAAACCGGAGGAAGUGGGGACGACGUCAAGUCAUCAUGGCCCUUAUGUCCUGGGCUACACACGUGCUACAAUGGCCGGUACAGAGUGAAGCGAAACCGCGAGGUGAAGCAAAACGCAGAAAGCCGGUCUCAGUACGGAUUGGAGUCUGAAACUCGACUUCAUGAAGUUGGAAUCGCUAGUAAUCGCGCAUCAGCAUGGCGCGGUGAAUACGUUCCCGGGCCUU
This 455-nucleotide ribosomal RNA is filed under the name uncultured Spirochaeta sp. RNAcentral describes it as "bacterial SSU rRNA". It matches the Rfam family "Bacterial small subunit ribosomal RNA", at positions 924 to 1382 of the family's 1533-position model. Lineage: Bacteria; Pseudomonadati; Spirochaetota; Spirochaetia; Spirochaetales; Spirochaetaceae. The record is from RNAcentral.